GGUUGUACCUCAGUGGUAGAGCACUUGCCUAGCAUGUGUGAGGCCCUAGGUUCAAUCCCCAGCACCA
This 67-nucleotide transfer RNA is filed under the name Marmota monax (woodchuck). RNAcentral describes it as "tRNA.Ala". The record is from RNAcentral. Lineage: Eukaryota; Metazoa; Chordata; Mammalia; Rodentia; Sciuridae.